GACGAACGCUGGCGGCGUGCCUAAUACAUGCAAGUGGAGCGACGAACCAGGCUUCGGCCUGGGGCAAAGCCGCGAACGGGUGAGUAACACGUGGGUAACCUGCCCCGAUGAUUGGGACAACCCGAGGAAACUCGGGCUAAUACCGAAUGUGCCCUCCGGCCAUAAGACCGGUGGGGAAAGGAAGCUUCGGCCUCCGCAUCGGGAUGGGCCCGCGGCCCAUUAGCUUGUUGGUGAGGUAAAGGCUCACCAAGGCGACGAUGGGUAGCUGGUCUGAGAG
This 277-nucleotide ribosomal RNA is filed under the name uncultured bacterium. RNAcentral's name for it is "partial 16S ribosomal RNA". It matches the Rfam family "Bacterial small subunit ribosomal RNA", at positions 28 to 298 of the family's 1533-position model. The record is from RNAcentral.